CUACCAGGGAGGUGUUAUUAUCAUCCUCUGGUAUCUACAGAUGAGGAAAACAGGCUUUGCAGGAUUUGAACCCAGCUGUCUGGCACCCACUCCAAUGCUUUUAGCCACCGUGGUUCAUGGCCCCACCCCAGAGCAGGAUCUCUGGUACACGGCCUGGAAGAGAGCCCUGAGGCCCACCAAUAGUGACUUCUCACGAGCUGCUCACCAGCGCUCCUUGGGGGCCCUCGAGCACCCCCAAGUCCCACUCGUGGAUUGGAAGCAGCAGAGAGCUGGAGGGUUAAGAGGACAUGAGAAUGGCAUGACAGAUCCUCAGCCACAAGGAUCAGCACAUGUGAGAAGGAUGAUCCCAGAAAAACGGGCCCUCCCCUCAGCCCACGCCUUGAUUCUGCUCCAGAACGCGGAGGAUGCAGAACUUCAAGAGGGCUGCGGCGAAGGUGUUGGCCAGCUCAGUGGACCCGGCACUUUGGCGUCAGAACUUCAGCAUGACUGCUGACGAGUGGCGGAAGUCCACGCCUGGAAACUGGACCUGGGCUGCCAAAUUGGAGCACGCCAAACUUAACCACUAGGCCACAGGGCCGGCCCCUACUCAGUCUUUUUAUCCCUUGGCUGAACACUGACAGCCCCUGGCUUAGCUUUGCUAUGAAACACUUUUAAAUUAUUUUUUAUUAGAAUAACAAAUUUAGAGUCUAUACCUAUAAUGGAUCACUGUUUAAAAACAAAAAUUCUAAAAAAAAAAAUUAAUGCUGAAAUACAAAUUAAUAGGGAAAAAAUUUUCGCAAGAAUAUUUCUGCAAAUUCCUCCUAUCUGAACACUCCUUACAUCUGAUCACAGUUCUCACACGUGAUUUGAUAAAUGCCGUUGGGACCAAGUGUCCCCCAAAAUCAGUCAGUUGGGUUCCUACCUUACGCCUACGCCAAAAUUAAUUCCAAUAGAUUAAAAAACUACACAUAAAAAGAGAAACCAUAAAUGAGUUAGAAAAAAAAUGGGAGAAUUUGUGCCAUAAGCUUAGAGUGGAGAGGGCUUUCUUACGUCUCACAGAAAACCUCCAAACCAGGAAGGAAAGGGUCUGUUUGUCCAAAUCAAAUUGAAAAUUCUUUCCUGGGUAAGGAAAACAGAAACUCAUGGACGAAGUCAAAUAACAAUUGACUAAUAGGAAAAGAAAAUAUUUGAAACAGAUCACAAAGAGCUCAUUUCCCUUAUCUUUAAAGAGCUCCGAUGAAUCAAUAAAGAUAAAAGACAAAUAAUUCAAUAGAAAAAUAGGCAAAGGAUGUAAACAGCUGGUCACGAAAACAAGGCAAAUCGGUCUUAAAUAUUUGAAAAAACAACCCUCCGCCUCACGUCUGAGGGAGAUAGAAGCUGGACUACGAUGAGACUAGACGGGCGAAGAUCACAAUGUCUGAUGACCCACGGUGCUGGCGAGGUUGCGGUGUCACAGGCCGUUUUCAUCACCGCUGAUGGGAAGGUAGGGUACCAUUUCUGUGAAGAGCACUUUAGCAAUAUCUUCCUAAAGGUAAAUGCUCAUCUACCCUUUGUUGUGGGUUAUGUCCCCUAAGAUUCCUAUGCUGACGUGUGAACCCCCAGGACCUUGGAAUGUGACCUUGAUUGGAGAUGUAGUCAGUUAAGAUGAAGUCACACUGGCAUAGGGUGGGCCCCGUAUCCACUAUGACUGUUAUCCUUAUCAAAAGGGGAAAUUGGGACGCAGACACACACAGGGGGAAGGCCACGUGUACACCAAGGCAGAGAUGGGCUGAUGCGUCUACCAGCCAAGGAACCCCCCAAAGGGGCCGGCGACCCACCCGAAGCGCGGGGAGAGGCCUGGAACAGAUUCUCCCUCACAGCGCUCAGAAGGAGCCCACGCGGCCCCGCAUCUUGAUCUCGGACUUCCAGCCUCAGAACUGCAUCCAUUUCUGUUGGAACUGAAAUAAUUCCCUGUGAAAUAAUACAUUUCUGUUGCUUCCCCACCCGCCGUGUGGUACUUGGUGAUGGCAGCCCGAGUGACUUAGCCGCUGCGACGCAGUGAGGUGGAUUUAUCGUACUGCGUCUGUGCACAGCUGCAAAGUGGGGCAGAGACCGGGGUCUACACGGCAGGAUUGUUUGUCAUUGCUAAAGACUGGAGCAACCCAAAUCUCCGUCAGUCAGCAGCUGCCGCAAUACGCGAUGGGACAUCCUGACGGGGGGAUAUUUUCAGCGAGGAGGCAGCGUAGCAUGUGCAGAUGGGAAUUAUCUCAAAGGUUGAUUAUGAAGUGAGAAAAGCAAAAUGCAGUGGUGAGAGAGAGGGCCUCAUCUGUAGGAAAAUACAGAGAAACAAAGCAGAAAAUAAAUGUGCAAAUAUUUGCUUGUAGCUGCAUACAUUCUAUUGGAAAGAUAGACGCGAAGCUGCUGAAUUCACUCGUUCCCGGCCUGCAGAAUCUCUUUGAGGCUCACAGAAAGAUUUCUGCUUCCACUAUAAACACACCUGUCCCUUUUGAACCUUUUACACUGUUUAUGUAUUACCUGUUCAGAAAAAAAAGUCUUAUGGGGAACAUCAAGAUGUUUCUCGUACUUCAAAACCCAACACUGAAAAGAGAAAAUACAGGCGUUUUGGCUUUUCAUCUUUUGGACAUAACAGCUCUUCAUACCUGAAAUAGGUUAUUUCAGAAGAUGAUACCUUCUCUCUUAUCUCUUCGUUUCGAAACAAAGCACAAAAUUUGUUUUUAAAAUACCUAAAUAAAUCAUAAAAAUGAAGCAUAAGAUGCAAGAAUUCUAACGCUCUCAUGGAUUGAAAGCAAGCAUAUCUGUUUUUUAAUCCCUAGCAUGUAAAUUUCAGUCGACAACGAUUGUUUCAGCAGAUACGCAGGCCCUGAACCAAGCCUGACAAAAUAUUUUUAAUUCAUUUGCCUAUAAAUCUUGCUUUUCCUCCUAAAAUUAAUCUAAAUUCUAUCGAAGAGUAGGCCUGACUUACUAAAUAGAAAAGGGUCAAAAGUCACCUUUAAAAAUAAGGCUUCUGGGGGCUGGCCCCGUGGCCGAGUGGUUAAGUUCGCGCGCUCUGCUGCAGGCAGCCCAGUGUUUCGUUGGUUCGAAUCCUGGGUGCGCACAUGGCACUGCUCAUCAAACCACGCUGAGGCAGCGUCCCACAUGCCACAACUAGAAGGAUCCACAACGAAGAAUAUAUAACUAUGUACCGGGGGGCUUUGGAGAGAAAAAGGAAAAAAUAAAAUCUUAAAAAAAAAAAAAAAAUGUGAAAAAAAAAUAAGGCUUCUGAUGAAAUACGAACUUUUUAAUACAAUCUUUAGGAUCAGACUGAUCUAAAAUAAAAUAAAUUUAUUCAAAAUACCUUGCAAAAAGGAUGAAAUGAUUUUUUUUUUAUUCAAAAAAGAGUUUG
Molecule: long non-coding RNA, 3361 nt
Filed under: Equus asinus (donkey)
Lineage: Eukaryota; Metazoa; Chordata; Mammalia; Perissodactyla; Equidae
Description: lncRNA (ENSEASG00005030380.1)
Source: RNAcentral